RNA transcript from Chroicocephalus ridibundus (black-headed gull), 5219 nucleotides. It is a transcript of the gene named checkpoint kinase 2, with no coding region annotated. The transcript has 16 exons. NCBI's taxonomy places the organism in Eukaryota, Metazoa, Chordata, Aves, Charadriiformes, Laridae. The record is from RefSeq and is a predicted model, not a curated record.
GCUGCUUUUCCUCAGGGGGGAGGGCGGUGCAGCCCGCUCGGCCGCGCGGCGCCGCCGGGGGCGGGAGUGCAGUGCUGUGGCGGCCGGCAGGGGGCGCUACUGCGGGAGGGGGGGGCGUGUCAGCCCCGCCGGCCGGCAGGGGGCGCUGCGGGCGGCGGGGCUGAGGGGAUUCCUGCCCCCGCGUCCCUCAGUGCCGGUGCCGGCGGGGAGGCCGCUGACAGAAAGGGCUCCCGGCGGUGCUGCGGCCUGGCGUUCCCCGCCGCCACGGGCUCCUGCCCGCCCUCGGCUCCGCUCCCCGCAGAUGCGGAGCGCCCGCCGCCGGCCUGGCCCGGCCCCGCCGCGUGAGCGCCCCGGAAGGCGGCCCGCCGCCCUCCCUCUUCCCCGCCGCCAGCGCGCCUGAACACCUUCGUGCAAAAGGCAACACGGAGAGUACCCAGGGCGCUGCGGUGUGUUUAUGGCUAAUCAUGAACUGUAGCAAACCGGUAAGGAGGUUUAAAUUAGUCUGAGUUAAUAGACUGAGCUGGAUGGCAACCGGCUUAAAAACCAAGAGGCGCCGGCAAAGCGAGGCAGGCAGGUGAGCGGAGCGGAUCCCGCAGGAUGGCAGCCGCCCUGGGAAGGGUCACUCACAGGUGGUGCAGUAGCCCCUUGGCAGCAUGAGCACGGGUGCUCUUGGAGAAAACCAGCUAAAGAUGAGUUAGCUCAAAGAUGUGGCUGCCAACAUGUCUCGAGAGACUGGAGGUGAAGCGCAGCAGUCUCAAGGUGCCCAACAGUCACAGGGUGGUACCGGUUCCUCUUCCAGUGGGUCACAGAGUACUAGUCAGUCUUCCUCAAGUUCUGGCACCCUCAGUUCUUUGGACACUGUUCCCACUCAGGAGCUUCCAUCGAUCCCUGAAGACCAGGAAUCUGAAGAGCUUGUUCCUCAGCCUUGGGGUCGACUCUUUGCACUUGGAAAAGGUUUCAGCAAUUGUGACUGUGUGAAUGAUGAAUACUGGUUUGGAAGAGACAAAAGCUGUGAUUAUAGUUUUUCAAAGCUAGGAUUGUCUGAGACUGGCUUCUACCAAAACUAUAGCAAGAAGCAUUUCCGAAUUUUCAGGGAAAUGGGUCCAAAAAAUUCCUACGUUGCCUACAUUGAAGACCACAGUGCAAACGGAACUUUUGUUAAUAGAGAGCUCGUUGGAAAAGGGAAGAGGCUUCCACUGACUCACAACUCUGAAAUUGCACUGUCUGUACAGAGUAAUAAGGUGUUUGUAUUUUCUGAUCUUAUGGUGGACGAUCAGUUGGUGUUUCCUAGAGAACUCAGAGAGAAAUAUAUCAUGUCAAAGACUUUGGGAAGUGGUGCCUGUGGAGAAGUCAAACUGGCAUUUGAGAAGAGCACUUGUAACAAAGUUGCAGUAAAGAUAAUCAAUAAACGGAAGUUCGUGGCAAGUGGUAUUAGAGAGACAAAUCCGGCUUUUAAUAUCAAUACAGAAAUUGAAAUUUUGAAGAAAAUAGAUCAUCCUUGCUUAAUCAAGAUCAAAAACUUCUUUGAAGCAGAGGAUUACUACAUUGUUUUGGAACUGAUGGAAGGAGGAGAAUUGUAUGACAGAGUGUCAAGGCCAAUCAAGAUGAAAGAAGCUACCUGCAAGUUGUAUUUUUAUCAGAUGCUGCUGGCUGUAAAGUAUCUUCAUGACAAUGGAAUUAUACACCGAGAUCUAAAGCCAGAGAAUGUGCUACUUUCAUCUUCUGAAGAGACAUGUCUUAUAAAGAUUACAGAUUUUGGACAAUCCAAGAUUCUUGGAGAAACUUCUCUUAUGAAAACAUUAUGUGGUACUCCCACGUAUCUUGCUCCUGAGGUUCUAAAUUCACUUGGGACUGCUGGAUACAGCCGAGCUGUGGACUGCUGGAGUUUAGGAGUUAUUCUUUUUGUAUGCUUGUGUGGAUAUCCACCAUUUAAUGAGCAAAAUACUCGACUAUCUCUGAAAGAUCAGAUCACUCGUGGAGAAUAUACGUUCAUUCCAAAAGAAUGGAAGCAUGUAUCAGACAUGGCUCUGGAUCUUGUGAAGAAACUGUUAGUAGUGGAUCCAAGCAAACGUCUUACAACAGAGGAAGCUUUAGAGCAUCCUUGGCUUCAGGUGAUGUACACUGCCUGCUCGGAAGGCCAACAUCCAAUAUGUUCAGUUCUAGAUAUCUCACACCUUGAAUACUACCACCAAAAGAGCUCCUUGAGUCCUGUUACUGUGAGUAGUGAGAAGGAGUUACUGGCUCCCCACUCCCUCUUGUGUUGUCUGUAAGUAUUGUCUUUAAAAGUUAGUAUGGAAAAACCACAGCAGACGUGUACUUUAUGUGUACGGCUAAUGCCCUCUCUAAGGAUUCUGGGUCCGCUAGGGAACUCUUCAGAUACUAAAACUAAACAUGUUCUCAAAACAAAACCUAAUUCCUUCAGCUUUAGUUAAACCAGUAGUGCUUUCAAAUUAGUGUUUUAAAUACCUGUGCUGUUUACUCUGUUCUUUGUUUAAAUCUAAAACUUUAGAACUUAGUGGGCUGCUUAAACCUAAGUACUACUCAGUGGAGAUGUCUUACCUCUAUUUACCAGGUACUUAAUAAAACAUUUUUCAAAGGCAUAUAAACAAUUAAUCGCUGCUUCUGCCUCUGAAAACUUCACUGGGGUCUUUUGUAUGGGACAAGACUAGUUGGUUGCAUGCUGAAGAAAAAUUCAGGUGUCUGUUAUAUAAAUGGAAAAAUAUUUAUCUUAUCUUGUCCAUCAACUCAAACGUAGCCACAGUCUAAACAGGUGACACUGGAAAACACAGACAAGUCCCAAUUCUGUAUAAAAUAAACUGGAUGGUCACACAUCAAAGGCUUUUUGUAGCACAUAAGAACAUAUUUAAACAAAAAAAGGAGACACUGCAAUACUCCAUAGCUUAGAAAAAGAACACCCUCCCCUGCCUUCACCCAAAAAACCACAGUUAAAACAUUUGAAAACCUUAGGAGCUCAAUGAUCCUUAUUUCUAAUUGUCCCUAGCAGCGACUGACCUGUUCACUUUUCUUUGAGUUUCCCAAUCUUUGCUGUGACAAUGGAACAAAAUUUUACAAGCUGUUAGCAUCAGCAAGUUGUUGAGAAUAAAUGUGUGGGUUUGUUUCUAGGUAAGUGGUUCAGUUGGUGCACACACAGUCACUGUUCAAAGCUCGGCCAAAGGAGAUGAUCCAUAUUAAAUCACAAUGAGCAGCAUACUUCAUUUAGUCCUGCAAAAGAUUAAAGACCUGAUUUCAGACAGGGAGUAUACUGUGCCAACUGACCAUCUUGUUUGCCCCGAUUUCCUGUUCCCUGGCGUUGCCCACGUAUACCAAGAACACCCCGAUCACUGGCAGCUGAACCAGAAUGAGGUUACGUGCUUUUUCUCUUGAAACACGCCUGAUUUUAUGCUAAACUAGCUUCUCUCAAUGAAGUGUCUCUGCUGCCCUGUGCUGUCCUCUCCUCCUCUUCGUGCUUCUGCAGCCAGGCCUGUUUAUGCACAGCUGAGACUAUUAAGUCCACUUCUUUCCCUCCACUAAUGGCAGCUUCUGGCUUCCCACUGCAGGUAAAUAGAGAAUGAACUGUACUAUCCAGUGACCUUCUGUAGUGAUACGAAUGCUCUAUGAAUAAUAUAAUAUUUGUUGACAUUUACUUGUGUUUUCAAAAGGGAAACUUCAGUGAAAUGCUUGCCCAAACUCUGAAUGUUUGCUUUCCAAAUGUUUCCAUUUAAAACUUUUUGUAUGUUCUAUGGACUUAUUUAUGUUAAGGAUAACCGUGGGGUGUUUUUUAAGAUAACGUUUUGUUUGAAAGUUUGGUGUGGGGGGUUGGAUUUUUUGAUUGGUUGGUUGGUGUUGUGUUUUUUUGUUUUGUUUUUUAGGGUAUGGGUGUUUUAGCUGGUGGUUCUCUGCCUCCUGUGUACGACAGGUUUGCUUUUGGGGGGGGUGGUAAUGAAAACUACCCAAGUUUGAGAUAAUGGUGAAGCUGAGCUAGUGGAAAUGAAAACAUGCUGUUAGAAAGGGAAGUCACUAUGAAUACAGAAUGUAAGACUAUAAGGAAAAUACUUGUUUUUCGAGAGCAAUUAACUCUUGUUUUGGUGAAAGCAGGCUGCAAGUCCUGAUGAGGCCUCUUCUGAUAAGGCUAAUGAAUUAUCUGCAUGAACUCUUUGUGUAUUCUGUUCUUUCAGUGUUGUUAUACUUUGGUGAAUGAUACUGCAAGUUUGGUUUUAACUUGACUAGUGUUAGCUAAGUAGUUAUUGAAGGGAAACUUUCUUCGUAGAAUGAAACAGAACUGUUUUUUCUUACCAGCGCUGUACAUAAACCACCUGCUUAAAAUUCUACUGUGGGCCAUAUUGGAAUCAUAGAAUAGUUUGGGUUGGAAGGGACCUUUAAAACGUUGUGUAGUCCAACCCCCCUGCAAUGACCAGGGACAUCUUUCAUUAAAUUAGGUUCCUCAGAGCCCCAUCCAACCUGACCUUGACCACUUCCAGGGAUGGGGUGUCUGCCACCUCUCUGGGCAACCUUGGGCCAGUGUUUCACCGCCCUCAUGGGAAAAAAUGUCUCCCUUAUAUCUAGUCUGAAUCUGCCCUCAUGUUGUUUAAAACCAUUACCCCAUGUCUCAACCGCAUCACUCAGCUUGGUGUCACCCGCCAGCUUGCUGAGGGUGCACCUGAUCCCACUGUCCAUGUUGUUGAUGAAGAUAUUAAACAGGACUGGUCCCAAUUCGGACGCCCGAGGGACACCACUCCUCACUGAUCUCCAUCCAGAUAUUGAGGCGUUGACCCCACUAGUCUCUGGAUACAGCCAAUUCCUUAUCCAUCAAAUAGCCCAUCCAUCAAAUCCAGAUCUCUCCAAUUUAGACAGAAGGAUCACUCCAUCAUAGAAAGCUACUAGGUUGGUCAGGCGAGACUUGCCCUUGGUGAAACCAUGUUAGGAAGGUGUUUAUUUGGGGGAAAGUGGAGGAACCUCCUUUUCUCCUUUAUUCAUUCAUUCUUUAAUUGCUGAUCCAUUUCAUUAGCCAAAAUGUAGGCUUUUCCCUUAAAUAUUCCAUAUUCUACUUAAAGUUAACUGCUUUUUUCACAGGAUGAGGAUAUGAAGAAUAAAUUUCAACAGCUACUUGCUCAGACACAUACCAGUAUGAAUCCACCACAAACAUCAAAAAUGCCAACCACCACAGGAAAGCGUCUUCACGAAAACGAGGAAGAAUCGGUCUCUUCUAAGCGUGCCAUUCC